AAUAAAAAUAAAGAAAGAAAAUUAAUAUACACCUUAGGGGCGAAUCUUUGAUAUGUAAUAACUUAAAAUAGUAUAAGAAAAUUGUUCAGUAUAUUAAUGAUUGGUAGGUCUGCUAAUUUUCUAUAACGUCUAUCGGGAAUAGAAUAAAAUAAAAUACUAGUUCCGGAAUAAAAUCGUCUGUUGAGCUGAGUUAAGUCUUUUCGCAAUCUCCGAUGUUAUUAAAAAAAAAAAGAAGAAGAAGAAGAAGAAGAAAAAGUAUCGUUUUCGAUCACAUAUGGUCGCCCAAAUCAAAGUCGAUAUCACCUAUUCAAAAUCUUUUAAACUAUCUUGUGCAUGUUCUAUCAGAGACUGUACCUUCACCAAACACUUUCAAUACAUUUCUGUGCGCCUCUGUAGUAUUUUUUCCUUGUUGGAAUGCUUGCAAGCUGAGACUCAGGUAUGGCUGGAGAGCAUGGAUUCAUUUCUUGUCCUAGGUAUCCUGUUUGAUCAUAAGCUUCGAUUCAAUUUGAAUACUUGUUGAAUACUUUGUGCUACGCUUCAUUAAACGCUGGUCAAGGGAAUUUGACGAGCCACGUGUGAAGAGAAGAUUACAAGUCAGCUUAGUGUGCCCUGUAUUGGAACACGCCUCGGUCGUAUCGUUGCUAUGUGAACUCAAUUAAAUCAAUUUUCAUUGUUUGCUCUUAGAAAUUUGUGUUGAGAUCCAAGCGUCCCCCUCCCUC
This is a long non-coding RNA of Glossina fuscipes, 719 nucleotides long. RefSeq lists it as uncharacterized. The transcript is spliced from 2 exons. NCBI's taxonomy places the organism in Eukaryota, Metazoa, Arthropoda, Insecta, Diptera, Glossinidae. The record is from RefSeq and is a predicted model, not a curated record.